Molecule: ribosomal RNA, 96 nt
Filed under: Castor canadensis (American beaver)
Lineage: Eukaryota; Metazoa; Chordata; Mammalia; Rodentia; Castoridae
Source: RNAcentral
GUCUGUGGCCAGACCACCCCGAACGCGCCCAAUCUCUUGUGGUCUCAGAAGCUAAGCAGGGUCGGACCUGGUUAGGAUCUGGAUGGGAGACAGACC